Long non-coding RNA from Malania oleifera, 640 nucleotides. RefSeq lists it as uncharacterized. The transcript is spliced from 3 exons. NCBI's taxonomy places the organism in Eukaryota, Viridiplantae, Streptophyta, Magnoliopsida, Santalales, Ximeniaceae. The record is from RefSeq and is a predicted model, not a curated record.
GCCUUGUUGGUCAGUGAAGAGAAAAUACUAGUAAUAGAUCUCUAUUCUUUCCCUCUGGAAAAGCUUCAACUCUCCCUUUUGUUGCCGCUGCGAGAGGUGUAACGCAUUGGAGCUGUCGCCAGAAGUUCAGCAUGCUCAGCUAUAAUGUGCCUUGUUAAGCUAUGCCUGCUGUUGUUUGCCCUCCUCGAUUCCCAAUUUGAUUUGUCCCUUCAGGUUACUCGCUGAACUAACCUCGCUGUUGUACGCCUUCUUGCAAGUUGAACCCUGAUACCUUCACCUCAUUUGAUACCCCUUUGCCCUUUUUUGCUACCUGUUGAUUGUGGUGGUUUUGACAACUCAGAUAUUGAGACGAGGUUCGCUCGUGAAGAGUGAAAUGCUGAAAACAAAGGACCUCUUCGAAAUCGAGUUUAGAGAGCUCAAGAUUUUGUAGCAUUUUUGUGAAGUAGAAAGAGAAAAUGAUAUAUUUUUUAUGUUAAUUUUUAAAUGUAUAAAUUUAUGUUUUCUAUUCUAUGUUUUGAGUUUUUGGAGAUAGGAAUGGUUGUGAAUACUGAAUGUUUAUGGGGAUAUUUAUAUAUGUUGAAUACGAGUGGAUGAUUAAUUUAUUAUGGUUGUUAGAUAGAGAUAGUAAACUCUGGUAUUA